RNAcentral lists this long non-coding RNA (246 nucleotides) under Elaeis guineensis (African oil palm). Its description in RNAcentral is "long non-coding RNA (EGUI_LNC071873)". The record is from RNAcentral. Lineage: Eukaryota; Viridiplantae; Streptophyta; Magnoliopsida; Arecales; Arecaceae.
AGUCAUCCACAUUGUAUUUCAAUCUUUUUUAGAUCCAUCAUAUGGAUUAUCCGGGCUCCGAUUUUGCUAAAUUGAAAUACACUGAUGCAUAUCUCCUACUAAUUUGGAGGGAUCAAUCUCAUCUUGACUCACACACCGACUUGACAAGUAUUUGAUUAUACCCAAAAACUUUUUGUCACUGAAUUAAAACUUAAUUAGUCUGAUAUCAAAGUAUAGUGAGUUGCUAGUAAGUCACGUGGUGAUCUC